This 73-nucleotide transfer RNA is filed under the name Blautia producta. RNAcentral's name for it is "tRNA-Phe". It matches the Rfam family "tRNA". From Rfam's summary of the family: Transfer RNA (tRNA) molecules are approximately 80 nucleotides in length. Their secondary structure includes four short double-helical elements and three loops (D, anti-codon, and T loops). The record is from RNAcentral. Lineage: Bacteria; Bacillati; Bacillota; Clostridia; Lachnospirales; Lachnospiraceae.
GGGAAGUAAGCUAAUCUGGUGAAAGCAUUGGACUGAAAAUCCAAGGAAGUAGGGUCGGAACCUGCACUUCCCA